RNAcentral lists this ribosomal RNA (1369 nucleotides) under uncultured bacterium. RNAcentral describes it as "bacterial SSU rRNA". It matches the Rfam family "Bacterial small subunit ribosomal RNA", at positions 28 to 1381 of the family's 1533-position model. The record is from RNAcentral.
GACGAACGCUGGCGGCGUGCCUAAUACAUGCAAGUAGAACGCUGAAGAGAGGAGCUUGCUCUUCUUGGAUGAGUUGCGAACGGGUGAGUAACGCGUAGGUAACCUGCCUUGUAGCGGGGGAUAACUAUUGGAAACGAUAGCUAAUACCGCAUAACAAUGGAUGACCCAUGUCAUUUAUUUGAAAGGGGCAAAUGCUCCACUACAAGAUGGACCUGCGUUGUAUUAGCUAGUAGGUGAGGUAACGGCUCACCUAGGCGACGAUACGUAGCCGACCUGAGAGGGUGAUCGGCCACACUGGGACUGAGACACGGCCCAGACUCCUACGGGAGGCAGCAGUAGGGAAUCUUCGGCAAUGGGGGCAACCCUGACCGAGCAACGCCGCGUGAGUGAAGAAGGUUUUCGGAUCGUAAAGCUCUGUUGUAAGUCAAGAACGAGUGUGAGAGUGGAAAGUUCACACUGUGACGGUAGCUUACCAGAAAGGGACGGCUAACUACGUGCCAGCAGCCGCGGUAAUACGUAGGUCCCGAGCGUUGUCCGGAUUUAUUGGGCGUAAAGCGAGCGCAGGCGGUUUGAUAAGUCUGAAGUUAAAGGCUGUGGCUCAACCAUAGUUCGCUUUGGAAACUGUCAAACUUGAGUGCAGAAGGGGAGAGUGGAAUUCCAUGUGUAGCGGUGAAAUGCGUAGAUAUAUGGAGGAACACCGGUGGCGAAAGCGGCUCUCUGGUCUGUAACUGACGCUGAGGCUCGAAAGCGUGGGGAGCGAACAGGAUUAGAUACCCUGGUAGUCCACGCCGUAAACGAUGAGUGCUAGGUGUUGGAUCCUUUCCGGGAUUCAGUGCCGCAGCUAACGCAUUAAGCACUCCGCCUGGGGAGUACGACCGCAAGGUUGAAACUCAAAGGAAUUGACGGGGGCCCGCACAAGCGGUGGAGCAUGUGGUUUAAUUCGAAGCAACGCGAAGAACCUUACCAGGUCUUGACAUCCCGAUGCUAUUUCUAGAGAUAGAAAGUUACUUCGGUACAUCGGUGACAGGUGGUGCAUGGUUGUCGUCAGCUCGUGUCGUGAGAUGUUGGGUUAAGUCCCGCAACGAGCGCAACCCCUAUGGUUAGUUGCCAUCAUUCAGUUGGGCACUCUAACGAGACUGCCGGUAAUAAACCGGAGGAAGGUGGGGAUGACGUCAAAUCAUCAUGCCCCUUAUGACCUGGGCUACACACGUGCUACAAUGGUUGGUACAACGAGUUGCGAGUCGGUGACGGCAAGCUAAUCUCUUAAAGCCAAUCUCAGUUCGGAUUGUAGGCUGCAACUCGCCUACAUGAAGUCGGAAUCGCUAGUAAUCGCGGAUCAGCACGCCGCGGUGAAUACGUUCCCGGGCCU